GAUGAACGCUGGCGGCGUGCCUAAUACAUGCAAGUCGAGCGAACGGACGAGAAGCUUGCUUCUCUGAUGUUAGCGGCGGACGGGUGAGUAACACGUGGAUAACCUACCUAUAAGACUGGGAUAACUUCGGGAAACCGGAGCUAAUACCGGAUAAUAUUUUGAACCGCAUGGUUCAAAAGUGAAAGACGGUCUUGCUGUCACUUAUAGAUGGAUCCGCGCUGCAUUAGCUAGUUGGUAAGGUAACGGCUUACCAAGGCAACGAUGCAUAGCCGACCUGAGAGGGUGAUCGGCCACACUGGAACUGAGACACGGUCCAGACUCCUACGGGAGGCAGCAGUAGGGAAUCUUCCGCAAUGGGCGAAAGCUUGACGGAGCAACGCCGCGUGAGUGAUGAAGGUCUUCGGAUCGUAAAACUCUGUUAUUAGGGAAGAACAUAUGUGUAAGUAACUAUGCACAUCUUGACGGUACCUAAUCAGAAAGCCACGGCUAACUACGUG
This 497-nucleotide ribosomal RNA is filed under the name uncultured bacterium. RNAcentral describes it as "partial 16S ribosomal RNA". It matches the Rfam family "Bacterial small subunit ribosomal RNA", at positions 28 to 507 of the family's 1533-position model. The record is from RNAcentral.